CCAGAAGGUGGGAGUAGGGGCAGUGGCGAAGAUGAGCCCUCGUGGCCCCUGUCGUAGGGGUUUAUGACCUGAAUGGUUCUUGACCUUGGACAUGAUUGAAGGGAACAACUAUAUCCAUUUGUUUUGCAAAUCAGAAGUAAAUUUUCAAAUUUAAAAUAAAAACAAGAGAUGGUCUAGCUAGUUACCAGGAGGAGAGAUCCACUACACAUAUGACCAGAAGAAGCUCCAUAAAUACAUGUAUAGGCACCAUUAGUUGCUAGUCAAACUUUUUGAUUGACUUACAAAACAGGUAAACACAUGUCAUAAAUAUCGAUAUAAAUUAGAAGUCUAAAUAAAGCACAAAGCAAACAGUUGUACAUUCAUAGAAAACUGAUACCUCCAAACAAAUAAAUAAACAUCUAAU
RNAcentral lists this long non-coding RNA (403 nucleotides) under Zea mays. RNAcentral describes it as "long non-coding RNA (ZMAY_LNC005829)". Lineage: Eukaryota; Viridiplantae; Streptophyta; Magnoliopsida; Poales; Poaceae. The record is from RNAcentral.